GAAACUGUGGGUCACCGGGUCACUGGGUUACUCUAUGCUUGACCCAGUCCAACUCUGGUCUGGAGUUCUGUCGGAGGAAUAAUAAGAGGAUCAUGUCAAAGAAAAAAGAACAAAAAUAAUAAUGAACAAUAACAAAAUGGUGGUAGUAUGUGUGCAGACAAUAGUUCACAAUUCUUGUAGAGGUUUGGUCGUAUUGAUCAAUAUUUGCUAGUAUUGCAGUAGUCGCUGUCGCACUCCACACAGUGUUUCUUUCCGCGGCCAUUUUGCUUCAGCUGCCGCCUAGAUAUUCUAAAAGGAUCUAGAUGAUAUUCGUGUAUUAGAUUAACAUAUUAUACGUACCUUCAAGAUAAAAUAUGCAUUUUCCGUUUGGACAACUCGUAGUUGCGGUAAGAUUAACAAAGCUACGACAUU
Molecule: long non-coding RNA, 411 nt
Organism: Photinus pyralis (common eastern firefly)
Lineage: Eukaryota; Metazoa; Arthropoda; Insecta; Coleoptera; Lampyridae
Exons: 3
Source: RefSeq, a predicted model, not a curated record